RNAcentral lists this ribosomal RNA (222 nucleotides) under uncultured bacterium. RNAcentral describes it as "partial 16S ribosomal RNA". It matches the Rfam family "Bacterial small subunit ribosomal RNA", at positions 109 to 334 of the family's 1533-position model. The record is from RNAcentral.
AGUAAUACAUCGGAACGUGUCUUCUAGUGGGGGAUAACUGCCCGAAAGGGCAGCUAAUACCGCAUGAGACCUGAGGGUGAAAGCGGGGGAUCGCAAGACCUCGCGCUGGAAGAGCGGCCGAUGUCCGAUUAGCUAGUUGGUGAGGUAAAGGCUCACCAAGGCGACGAUCGGUAGCUGGUCUGAGAGGACGACCAGCCACACUGGGGCUGAGACACGGCCCAG